AAACCCCAUAAACUACACGUACAUUCACAAGUAUUAAAAACUUCAAAAUCAAAACCCGUACCUCAAUUUCAAUCAAUCCACGAAAGUUUAUCACGUUGUUACACAACGCUCAUAAGCACAAUCUACAAACAAAAUAAUCAGAUAAUACACCGCUCAACUCGAUUCUAUAAAUGACUAUAGAUGAUUAAAUACUAAUUAUUCUUCACAAGAGCCUAAUUAACUCAAUUGAUUACAACAUAU
RNAcentral lists this long non-coding RNA (240 nucleotides) under Erythranthe guttata (spotted monkey flower). RNAcentral's name for it is "long non-coding RNA (EGUT_LNC003155)". The record is from RNAcentral. Lineage: Eukaryota; Viridiplantae; Streptophyta; Magnoliopsida; Lamiales; Phrymaceae.